CCUUAAGAAAAAAAGCAUCGAUGAGGUACUUCCAAAGAGUAGAGCAGACCUUUCCGAGAGAUAAGUAAAUCUCACUUUGAAUCUUUUUGGAUAGGCCCCGUCGGGUGAGCUUUUGUAUAGUGAUUCUGAUCCUGAAAGAGUCUACGACAAAAUCAGAAUAUGAUCAAUUAAAUAAACAGAUAGGCCAUCGCUUUAAUUAUACAGUUAGGUGGG
Molecule: long non-coding RNA, 213 nt
Filed under: Elaeis guineensis (African oil palm)
Lineage: Eukaryota; Viridiplantae; Streptophyta; Magnoliopsida; Arecales; Arecaceae
Description: long non-coding RNA (EGUI_LNC021168)
Source: RNAcentral